Molecule: non-coding RNA, 45 nt
Filed under: Schistosoma curassoni
Lineage: Eukaryota; Metazoa; Platyhelminthes; Trematoda; Strigeidida; Schistosomatidae
Source: RNAcentral
AUUUAACUGACAAGUACCAAAUAGGAUGAAACGCGUGUCCUGGAU